Long non-coding RNA from Sander lucioperca (pikeperch), 1134 nucleotides. RefSeq lists it as uncharacterized. The record is from RefSeq and is a predicted model, not a curated record. Lineage: Eukaryota; Metazoa; Chordata; Actinopteri; Perciformes; Percidae. The transcript is spliced from 2 exons.
UCUUAAUUCUAAUUCUUCUCAAAGUGUUGGCCGAAGCCCUCAUCAAGCUGCAGGGUACAAGCCUGCCAAUACAAAAUCUCAGACAGACAGGAUCAAAAUAGAAACUUUCUGUAACUCUACUGAGAAGAUUCCUUGUUCGGUGAUUAUAUCUGGGCCCAGUGGUGGUAUCAUAAACAGGAGGUAGUCUGGUUAUCCAUUUGACAAGAUGAUUAGACAGUACGUGCAGCCAAUGAACAAACGGGAAAUGAAAUGUAUUCAAUGUUGGGAGCUUGAAGAAAGGCCUUCAUCACGGUGUGUUAUGAUGUUGUGACAAAGAAGCCAUGGCGUGACUAUCCCAUAGUAAUCGUCUAGAAGACAAAAUCGAGUGCUUACUUGUCCAAAGUAUGAGCUUAAACAACUGCAGGUUGCAGCCAUGAUGGCCUGAUCAAUAAAUGAUCCCAAGUAUGAGAAAAUAAACAAAGCAAUGACAGCUUUAGCAGCAUAGCAUUUUAUCUUAGGUGAUUCUGAAUUGAAUAUUUAACAUGCACAAAACAGUUGAACACAGCUUUGGAACAUAGGUGACAUGAAUCUUAUCUAAAGCUUAGAUAAGUAUAUGAUAUGGUAGCAAACACAAGCACUUCUCUAUCCGAACAUGAAAGCAUGCUGAGGUUUCAUUUCACAGUAAAAACAUGACCCGUUACUCUUGUCUUCCAAUUACCGUGUAAGAAAAUAAUACAUACACCUAUAGUAAUAGAAAAGGUCUGUAUUAAAAAUCCCUUUUCGACUAAACACCAAAAGUCAAAACAGAAUAAGGCUUAUUUACCAUCAGCACAAUCAAACAACAGCAUCAAAUCAGUACAGUCUUAACACAAAGAGGAAAGAUUUAAAGGGAUUUCUUUAGCUCAUACUUGUCGCAUUGUAACAUGAAUAAAUGCGUUCCUCGCUGAAGGGGUUUUGACAAGCAUGUUUGAAGAAACUAAUUUAAUUGUGUAAUCAAGAAAAAAAGAAGCUCUACUUGCAUGUUGAAGCGUAAACAUGCUGUAUAAAGAAAAUAAAAAGCUGGGUCAGUGGUGGAAUGUUUGAUUUGUACAUAGAAAGAAAAAAGGCUUAAUUCCCAUUCAAGUCCAGUCGCAUAAAGUUUCAGAUAAAAGCGAU